UCACUUCACAUUAAUUGCCGAACGCCUAUAUGUCUUCGUGCCGGGUUCGCCCGGCUAUGAGGAUAAAUUGUGCCGUGCAAUAGAUGCAGCGGACCCGGGGGCAGUACCCGGCGGCUCCACCAAAUCCUUCGCUUCGGCGGAGGUUCUGACGGGGCCGAACCAGGAUCGACGUGUAUUGAAAAGCGGUAUUUUCUUCCGGGCUGAGUAACCCGUUAAAGGCUCAAAACCCACAAGUGCCAAUGACAAUGAAGCACUCGCUCUCGCGGCGUAACCUGACGGCCUAACGGCCUGAAAUUACAAAGCUAAAGCGCGGUUGGACCGACCGGGCAACAGAACGGAUUCCA
This 344-nucleotide transfer-messenger RNA is filed under the name Novosphingobium sp. Gsoil 351. RNAcentral describes it as "Alphaproteobacteria transfer-messenger RNA". It matches the Rfam family "Alphaproteobacteria transfer-messenger RNA". From Rfam's summary of the family: Bacterial tmRNA, also known as 10Sa RNA or SsrA, is named for its dual tRNA and mRNA-like properties. Its role is to liberate the mRNA from a stalled ribosome. The record is from Rfam by way of RNAcentral. Lineage: Bacteria; Pseudomonadati; Pseudomonadota; Alphaproteobacteria; Sphingomonadales; Sphingomonadaceae.